AUGGAGAUGACCAUUCCCCUAAACCGGCAUAGUUGGGUGAGGACUCCAGAAAGGCCUCUCAGGAAGGCAACAGUGCAUGGCGACUCUUUACCCCUUCGCCCGCCUCCUGAUCUACGUACUCGCCUAUUCCUGCGUUUACUCGUGUUUGUACAUGUUGGUUUACUUUCUUCGCAUUUUUGUAGAGGAUUAGGCAGCCAAGCUGGACCAAAGUCACCAGGGUGGUGAAGGCCCGGCCCACCGCCGAAGGGCUUCUUCAAGUUCGGCCUUUACGAGGUCUUCAAGAUCCGCUCCGCGGAGCUCCUGGGCCCAGAGAAAGCCUACGGGUGGAGAGCCGGCCUGUACCUUUUCGCCUGGGCCAGCGCCGAGUUCUUCCCCGAUGUCUCGCUGGAGCCCAUGGAGGCGGUCAAGGUCCGCGUGCAGACGCGACCGGGCUACGCCAGCACCCUGCGAGCCACGGCGUCCAGGAUGUAGGGCGAGGAGGGCCUGUGGGCCUUCUACAAGGGCGUGGCGCCGCUGUGGCUGAGGCAGAUCCCCUACACCAUGAUGAAGUUCGCCUGCUUCGAGCGCACGGUAGAGGACCUCUACAGGUAUGCCGUGCCCAAGCCCCAGAGCCAGUGCACCAAGGCCAAGCAGCUGGGCAUCACCUUCGUGGCGUCUUCUGCGCUGUCGUGUCCCAUCCCGCCGACUCCGUGGUGUCUGUGCUGAACAAGGAGAAGGGCAUCGCGGCCCUGGGCGUCCUCCGAAGACUGGGGUUCACGGGCGUGUGGAAGGGCGUCGUUGCGCGCAUCGGCCUCUUUGCGCACAUCCCCAUGAUCGGCACCCUCACGGCCCUGCAGUGGUUUAUCUAUGACCUGGUCAAGGUCUAUUUCAAGCUGCCUCGCCCUCCCGUGGCUCAAGCGCCCGAACCCCUGAAGAAGAAAAAGUA
Molecule: RNA transcript, 925 nt
Organism: Homo sapiens (human)
Lineage: Eukaryota; Metazoa; Chordata; Mammalia; Primates; Hominidae
Gene: SLC25A3P1
Gene name: solute carrier family 25 member 3 pseudogene 1
Exons: 2
Source: RefSeq, marked provisional